AUACGGAGGGGGCUAGCGUUGUUCGGAAUUACUGGGCGUAAAGCGCACGUAGGCGGACUUUUAAGUCAGAUGUGAAAUCCCGGGGCUCAACCUCGGAACUGCAUUUGAAACUGGAAGUCUAGAGACCAGGAGAGGUUAGCGGAAUACCGAGUGUAGAGGUGAAAUUCGUAGAUAUUCGGUGGAACACCAGUGGCGAAGGCGGCUAACUGGACUGGUACUGACGCUGAGGUGCGAAAGUGUGGGGAGCAAACAGGAUUAGAUACCCUGGUAGUCCACACCGUAAACGAUGAGAGCUAGUUGUUGGCAGGCAUGCCUGUCGGUGACGCAGCUAACGCAUUAAGCUCUCCGCCUGGGGAGUACGGUCGCAAGAUUAAAACUCAAAGAAUUGACGGGGGCCCGCACAAGCGGUGGAGCAUGUGGUUUAAUUCGAAGCAACGCGCAGAACCUUACCUACCCUUGACAUACCGAUCGCGGUUUCCAGAGAUGGAUUCCUUCAGUUAGGCUGGAUCGGAUACAGG
Molecule: ribosomal RNA, 518 nt
Filed under: uncultured Hyphomonas sp.
Lineage: Bacteria; Pseudomonadati; Pseudomonadota; Alphaproteobacteria; Hyphomonadales; Hyphomonadaceae
Description: bacterial SSU rRNA
Rfam family: Bacterial small subunit ribosomal RNA
Source: RNAcentral